ACGUAGGAGGCGAGCGUUAUCCGGAGUUACUGGGCGUAAAGCGCGUGUAGGUGGUCUGUUGCGUCUGCUGUGAAAUGUCCCGGCUUAACCGGGAAGGUGCGGCGGAUACGGGCAGACUAGAGGGUGACAGAGGAGCGUAGAAUUCCGGGUGUAGUGGUGAAAUGCGUAGAGAUCCGGAGGAAUACCAGUGGCGCAAGCGGCGCUCUGGGUCGAGCCUGACACUGAGACGCGAAGGCAUGGGGAGCGAACGGGA
RNAcentral lists this ribosomal RNA (253 nucleotides) under uncultured prokaryote. RNAcentral's name for it is "partial 16S ribosomal RNA". It matches the Rfam family "Bacterial small subunit ribosomal RNA", at positions 525 to 777 of the family's 1533-position model. The record is from RNAcentral.